GAGGGUAUAAUUCAUAUGGUAGAGUGUAUGCUUAGCAUGCACGAGAUCCUGGGUUCAAUCCCCAGUAUCUCCG
RNAcentral lists this transfer RNA (73 nucleotides) under Camelus bactrianus (Bactrian camel). It matches the Rfam family "tRNA". From Rfam's summary of the family: Transfer RNA (tRNA) molecules are approximately 80 nucleotides in length. Lineage: Eukaryota; Metazoa; Chordata; Mammalia; Artiodactyla; Camelidae. RNAcentral also lists the same sequence under 2 other names. The record is from Rfam by way of RNAcentral.